CCUCUGUGAUGGUAAAGGCUCCAAGGUGGGUUUGCAUUUCCCACUUGGAAAGAAGGCCAACGCCCCCAGAAAGGAGUGCAUGUGGCCAUUCAAGGGUGCCUACUGAUUUCAUCCAUAGUAUGCCAGCAGGCCGUGAAAAGCGAACCGUACCGGAGUCCGUUGGGGUCUGUUUCCUGCACUUUUGCUGUAUACCCCAGGAAUGCUGCGGUGUGCGCCCCGGUGGAGCCCCAGAAGGCCGAGACGAAGAGGCUGGCAGUCCAGUGCUCAAUACCUGAUGACAGGCCAGCUCUUGGCUGCUGGGCUGGACAAAGGCAAGGGCCUAAGCAGAAUUUUCAAAUUGAGGCUAUCAGUCUGUUCUGCAAAGUGGGGAAUGUGUGGUCCUGGCCUGAGAGCGCCCCCUCUCGGGCUGAAUUGCUUCCUCCCCACUGCUUGCGGGCCCACAGUUCAAUUCCCCGCACAUUUUGGGGUCCCUCUUCCCAGAAACUAUGUCCGCGCUAGCUGCUGCUGAUUCAGUGAUUCUCCGCGGCAGCUUCUCCUCUGCCGGGUUCGUCCGGACUAGAGAUCGCCUCCUAGACACGUGUCCAGUUCAAAAGAUCCUGGGACAGGGGCAAGCGGUUCGACCUGGGUGAACCAAGGAGUUGGAGGAUGUUGCAGACCCCGGAGAGGCUGUCAGAGUGGAUGCAGACCGCCCCCGCCCUUCCCUCGCACCGAAUCAGAGAACUCAACCCCGCCCGCACAGGAGGCAGGAGCAGGGGCGGGGAGCUUUCAAU
Bos taurus (domestic cattle) is the source of this 770-nucleotide long non-coding RNA. The record is from Ensembl. NCBI's taxonomy places the organism in Eukaryota, Metazoa, Chordata, Mammalia, Artiodactyla, Bovidae.